CCCUAAGAGCCCGGGUCCCACAGGCAGCGGCAGCGGCAGCGACAGCCUGCCUACCCCAGGACUCCAGCCUCACCUGGCUUCUGCCUCAACUCCGCUCCUCUGCCCCCCAGCGCUUCCUGGUACGGGGCCGAGCAGGGGUUGGUGCUCCGUGCGGUCCUUCCCUCUCCCCGCCUCCACCACGGGACCCCGCCCUCCUGGGCCGACUGCAGAGCCUUCCUGAAUCCUCUGACCUCGGGCCUCAGGCUUUAGCGGAGAGACAGCAUGAUAGGCCUGGAGUUCUUCAAGAGGCCUCCUCGCACAUCCUUACCACCCGGAGAGCCUCAGUUUGGAUUUGAAGCCAUCGCACCCCAAAGGAGAUGACAAUCCCCCCCCUUUUUUGAACUU
This 384-nucleotide long non-coding RNA is filed under the name Homo sapiens (human). RNAcentral describes it as "HSALNT0208294". Lineage: Eukaryota; Metazoa; Chordata; Mammalia; Primates; Hominidae. The record is from RNAcentral.